CCUACGGGAGGCUGCAGUGAGGAAUAUUGGUCAAUGGGAGAGAUCCUGAACCAGCCAAGCCGCGUGAGGGAAGACGGCCCUAUGGGUUGUAAACCUCUUUUGUCGGAGAACAAAACCCGGGACGUGUGCCGGACUGCGUGUAUCCGACGAAAAAGCAUCGGCUAACUCCGUGCCAGCAGCCGCGGUAAUACGGGGGAUGCGAGCGUUAUCCGGAUUUAUUGGGUUUAAAGGGUGCGUAGGCGGUCCGUUAAGUCAGCGGUAAAAUUGCGGGGCUCAACCCCGUCGAGCCGUUGAAACUGGCAGACUGGAGUGGGCGAGAAGUACGCGGAAUGCGCGGUGUAGCGGUGAAAUGCAUAGAUAUCGCGCAGAACUCCGAUGGCGAAGGCAGCGUACCGGCGCCAGACUGACGCUGAGGCACGAAAGCGUGGGGAUCGAACAGGAUUAGAUACCCCUGUAGUC
Molecule: ribosomal RNA, 459 nt
Filed under: uncultured bacterium
Lineage: Bacteria
Description: partial 16S ribosomal RNA
Rfam family: Bacterial small subunit ribosomal RNA
Source: RNAcentral